Molecule: long non-coding RNA, 216 nt
Filed under: Elaeis guineensis (African oil palm)
Lineage: Eukaryota; Viridiplantae; Streptophyta; Magnoliopsida; Arecales; Arecaceae
Description: long non-coding RNA (EGUI_LNC021302)
Source: RNAcentral
CAUUGCUAGAUGAUCACUUCGAUUGGUACAAAAAUUUAUUUCUAUACUACUGACUUAGGUUCAGACCUAUGAGGUCACACACAUUAGAGUUCAUGAUUCGAUCGGAUGGUUGAUCAACGAUUAAGAAUCGUUCUAGGAUUAAAUGAUCAAUACGAUUGACAUUUAACCUAGUGCAAGUGUUGCAGGAGGAUCGAUUAGCAAUUCGAUUGCUAAUUG